This 472-nucleotide ribosomal RNA is filed under the name uncultured bacterium. Its description in RNAcentral is "bacterial SSU rRNA". It matches the Rfam family "Bacterial small subunit ribosomal RNA", at positions 28 to 505 of the family's 1533-position model. The record is from RNAcentral.
GAUGAACGCUAGCGGCAGGCUUAACACAUGCAAGUCGAGGGGCAGCACGGGUAGCAAUACCUGGUGGCGACCGGCGCAAGGGUGCGUAACGCGUGAGCAACAUGCCCUAUACAGGGGGAUAAUCCAGGGAAACUUGGUCUAAUAUCCCAUAGUAUUUAGAGGAGGCAUCUUCUAUAAAUUAAAGCUUCGGUGGUAUAGGAUUGGCUCGCGUGACAUUAGCUAGAUGGUGAGGUAACGGCUCACCAUGGCAAUGAUGUCUAGGGGUUCUGAGAGGAAGGCCCCCCACACUGGGACUGAGACACGGCCCAGACUCCUACGGGAGGCAGCAGUGAGGAAUAUUGGACAAUGGAUGGAAAUCUGAUCCAGCCAUGCCGCGUGCAGGAAGACAGCCCUAUGGGUUGUAAACUGCUUUUAAUGGGGACAAUAGGUACGUGUAGACUGAUGAGAGUACCCAAUAUAGAAGUAAGACACG